UUGUAAAGAACUUUCAGUGGGGAAGAAGAAAGUGACGGUACCCACAGAAGAAGCUGACGGCUAAAUACGUGCCAGCAGCCGCGGUAAUACGUAUGUCGCAAGCGUUAUCCGGAAUUAUUGGGCAUAAUGGGCGUCUAGGCGGUUUAAUAAGUCUGAUGUGAAAAUGCGGGGCUCAACUCCGUAUUGCGUUGGAAACUGUUAAACUAGAGUUUUGGAGAGGUAGGCGGAACUACAAGUGUAGAGGUGAAAUUCGUAGAGAUUUGUAGGAAUGCCGAUGACGAAGGUAGCUUACUGGACAAAUACUGACGCUAAAGCGCGAAAGCUAGGGGAGCGAACAGGAUUAGAUACCCUGGUAGUCCUAGCUGUAAACGAUGAUCACUGGGUGUGGGGGGUCGAACCCCUGUGCCGAAGUUAAUGCGAUAAGUGAUCCGCCUG
Molecule: ribosomal RNA, 435 nt
Filed under: bacterium 'H. scabra 2 (Fa)'
Lineage: Bacteria
Description: bacterial SSU rRNA
Rfam family: Bacterial small subunit ribosomal RNA
Source: RNAcentral